UUGAACGCUGGCGGCAGGCCUAACACCUGCAAGUCGAGCGGAUGAAGGGAGCUUGCUCCUGGAUUCAGCGGCGGACGGGUGAGUAAUGCCUAGGAAUCUGCCUGGUAGUGGGGGAUAACGUCCGGAAACGGGCGCUAAUACCGCAUACGUCCUGAGGGAGAAAGUGGGGGAUCUUCGGACCUCACGCUAUCAGAUGAGCCUAGGUCGGAUUAGCUAGUUGGUGGGGUAAAGGCCUACCAAGGCGACGAUCCGUAACUGGUCUGAGAGGAUGAUCAGUCACACUGGAACUGAGACACGGUCCAGACUCCUACGGGAGGCAGCAGUGGGGAAUAUUGGACAAUGGGCGAAAGCCUGACCAGCCAUGCCGCGUGUGUGAAGAAGGUCUUCGGAUUGUAAAGCACUUUAAGUUGGGAGGAAGGGCAGUAAGUUAAUACCUUGCUGUUUUGACGUUACCAACAGAAUAAGCACCGGCUAACUUCGUG
RNAcentral lists this ribosomal RNA (482 nucleotides) under uncultured bacterium. RNAcentral describes it as "partial 16S ribosomal RNA". It matches the Rfam family "Bacterial small subunit ribosomal RNA", at positions 30 to 507 of the family's 1533-position model. The record is from RNAcentral.